RNAcentral lists this unclassified non-coding RNA (915 nucleotides) under Hevea brasiliensis (rubber tree). The record is from RNAcentral. Lineage: Eukaryota; Viridiplantae; Streptophyta; Magnoliopsida; Malpighiales; Euphorbiaceae.
AAUCACAGGGGCCAUAGCAGUGAAAGAUACUCACCUUCAUCUGCUGGUUCUCAAGAAGUUAAAGACUCAGAAGAUGCUGUUAUUUCCCACUCUGAGUCAGUUUCAAGUGGCUCAGUUGCAAAUUCUGAUGGUGGAUCAUCAACAAAGUUUUAUCCACUCAUUCUCCAAUCUAGUAAUAAUACUGUUAGCAAAGGAGAGAUUUCCGUUUCGGCAUUGCCCAUCCAGUAUAAAAGUUCUAUUAACCAAGAUAGCAAUUCAAUUUCUUUUGAACAAUCUCAAAUGGGUAUAUCCCCUGAGGAUAGUAAUUCUAUGGAUAGUAAUGUAGCAUCUGUAACGAAUGGCUUUCCUUCUGCUGGAAGAACAAUUGCAAAAAUUCAGUCAUCAAACAGUGUUGUGACAAGCGAAGCUUCAAACACAAGCUCCAACCGUUCUGACUUGAGUAUGAACAUUAUAGAUGAAGGGCCAACUAAUGAUUCAUUGGAUUUUGAGCAGUUUUUUCAAGAGGGUUACUGUAAAGUGUCAUCCUUAAGUGAGUUUCAUGAAUCAGCAGAAGUCAGUUUUGUGGACAACAACAUCAGUCCUGGUGAUUUAGAAAAAUCUGAAGAAGAUGGUGACAAUGAUGAUAUGCUUGGAGGUGUUUUUGCUUUCUCUGAGGAAGGUUGAUGUGUGUCUCCCAUUUUCAAGUUCUGCUGAAUUAAUUGCACCUUCUGUUUCAUUCAAUUUAUUAUUAUGCAAAGUCUGCUCCAGCCUAACGGAGGGUUAGAUGCUAAUUGAUAAAAGUUGCAGGUAAUAUCCCCUCAACGUUCCAUUGAGAAUGUUACUGACUGAUUAAUACAAGAUCACUGCCAGUGCAAAUAAUGCCUGGCUUUCUCCCUUUCUAAAUCUGAUGUACAUGCUGUAAAUUGAUAUUCAUAA